GGGUUGUGAGGUUAAGCGACUAAGCGUACACGGUGGAUGCCCUGGCAGUCAGAGGCGAUGAAGGGCGUGCUAAUCUGCGAUAAGCGCCGGUAAGGUGAUAUGAACCGUUAUAACCGGCGAUACCCGAAUGGGGAAACCCAGUGUGACUCGUCACACUAUCAUUAACUGAAUCCAUAGGUUAAUGAGGCGAACCGGGGGAACUGAAACAUCUAAGUACCCCGAGGAAAAGAAAUCAACCGAGAUUCCCCCAGUAGCGGCGAGCGAACGGGGAGGAGCCCAGAGCCUGAAUCAGCAUGUGUGUUAGUGGAAGCGUCUGGAAAGGCGCGCGAUACAGGGUGACAGCCCCGUACACAAAAGCGCAUGUGCUGUGAGCUCGAUGAGUAGGGCGGGACACGUGGUAUCCUGUCUGAAUAUGGGGGGACCAUCCUCCAAGGCUAAAUACUCCUGACUGACCGAUAGUGAACCAGUACCGUGAGGGAAAGGCGAAAA
RNAcentral lists this ribosomal RNA (489 nucleotides) under Salmonella enterica. Its description in RNAcentral is "partial 23S ribosomal RNA". It matches the Rfam family "Bacterial large subunit ribosomal RNA", at positions 1 to 520 of the family's 2925-position model. Lineage: Bacteria; Pseudomonadati; Pseudomonadota; Gammaproteobacteria; Enterobacterales; Enterobacteriaceae. RNAcentral also lists the same sequence under 1 other name. The record is from RNAcentral.